UGCUUGUCUCAAAGAUUAAGCCAUGCAUGUCUAUGCACAAGCCGAAUACGGUGAAGCCGCGAAUGGCUCAUUACAACAGCCACUGUUUACUUGAUUCUGAUUAUCCUACUUGGAUAACUGUGGUAAUUCUAGAGCUAAUACAUGCAACCAAGCUCCGACCGUAAGGGACGAGCGCAUUUAUUAGAACAAAACCAAUCGGGCUUCGGCCUGAGGUUUGGUGAAUCUGAAUAACUGAGCUGAUCGCAUGGUCUUUGUACCGGCGACGCAUCUUUCAAGUGUCUGCAUUAUCAACUUUCGAUGGUAGUUUAUGUGCCUACCAUGGUUGUAACGGGUAACGGAGAAUAAGGGUUCGACUCCGGAGAGGGAGCCUGAGAAACGGCUACCACAUCCRAGGAAGGCAGCAGGCA
This 407-nucleotide ribosomal RNA is filed under the name Nematoda environmental sample. RNAcentral describes it as "SSU rRNA". It matches the Rfam family "Eukaryotic small subunit ribosomal RNA", at positions 29 to 436 of the family's 1831-position model. The record is from RNAcentral. Lineage: Eukaryota; Metazoa; Nematoda.